GAUGAACGCUGGCGGCGUGCUUAACACAUGCAAGUCGAACGGUAAGGCUCCUGCUUUCCUCGUCACUCGAGUGGCGAACGCGUGAGUAUCACGCGGGGGAUCUCCCCUUCACUUCGGGAUAAGACUGGUAAACUGGGUCUAAUAUCGGAUAUGACGAUGGUUUACAUGUCAUUGUGGUAAGUUUUUCGGUGUGGCUUGAGGUCGCGGCCGAUCAGCGUGUUGGUAGGGUAAUGGUCUACAAAGGCGUCGCCGGGUAGCCGGACUGUGAGUGUGUACGGGCACAUUGGGACUGAGAUAGGGCCCAGACGCAUACGGGAGGAAGGGGUGGGAAAUAUUGCGAAAUGGGCGCCAGGCUGAUGGAGCGACGCCGGGUGGGGGAUGACGGCCUUCGGGUUGUAAACUCCGUUCGCUAGGGACGAAGCGACAGUGACGGUACCUUGAGAAGAAGCAACGGCUAACUACGUG
Molecule: ribosomal RNA, 465 nt
Filed under: uncultured bacterium
Lineage: Bacteria
Description: partial 16S ribosomal RNA
Rfam family: Bacterial small subunit ribosomal RNA
Source: RNAcentral